AAUCUGCGAUAAGCGCCGGUAAGGUGAUAUGAACCGUUAUAACCGGCGAUUUCCGAAUGGGGAAACCCAGUGUGAUUCGUCACACUAUCAUUAACUGAAUCCAUAGGUUAAUGAGGCGAACCGGGGGAACUGAAACAUCUAAGUACCCCGAGGAAAAGAAAUCAACCGAGAUUCCCCCAGUAGCGGCGAGCGAACGGGGAGGAGCCCAGAGCCUGAAUCAGCAUGUGUGUUAGUGGAAGCGUCUGGAAAGGCGCGCGAUACAGGGUGACAGCCCCGUACACAAAAGCGCAUGUGCUGUGAGCUCGAUGAGUAGGGCGGGACACGUGGUAUCCUGUCUGAAUAUGGGGGGACCAUCCUCCAAGGCUAAAUACUCCUGACUGACCGAUAGUGAACCAGUACCGUGAGGGAAAGGCGAAAAGAACCCCGGCGAGGGGAGUGAAAAAGAACCUGAAACCGUGUACGUACAAGCAGUGGGAGCACAGGUUUACCUGUGUGACUGCGUACCUUUUGUAUAAUGGGUCAGCGACUUAUAUUCUGUAGCAAGGUUAACCGAAUAGGGGAGCCGGAGGGAAACCGAGUCUUAAUUGGGCGUUAAGUUGCAGGGUAUAGACCCGAAACCCGGUGAUCUAGCCAUGGGCAGGUUGAAGGUUGGGUAACACUAACUGGAGGACCGAACCGACUAAUGUUGAAAAAUUAGCGGAUGACCUGUGGCUGGGGGUGAAAGGCCAAUCAAACCGGGAGAUAGCUGGUUCUCCCCGAAAGCUAUUUAGGUAGCGCCUCGUGAAUUCAUCUCCGGGGGUAGAGCACUGUUUCGGCUAGGGGGCCAUCCCGGCUUACCAACCCGAUGCAAACUGCGAAUACCGGAGAAUGUUAUCACGGGAGACACACGGCGGGUGCUAACGUCCGUCGUGAAGAGGGAAACAACCCAGACCGCCAGCUAAGGUCCCAAAGUCAUGGUUAAGUGGGAAACGAUGUGGGAAGGCCCAGACAGCCAGGAUGUUGGCUUAGAAGCAGCCAUCAUUUAAAGAAAGCGUAAUAGCUCACUGGUCGAGUCGGCCUGCGCGGAAGAUGUAACGGGGCUAAACCAU
Molecule: ribosomal RNA, 1088 nt
Filed under: Salmonella enterica subsp. enterica serovar Newport
Lineage: Bacteria; Pseudomonadati; Pseudomonadota; Gammaproteobacteria; Enterobacterales; Enterobacteriaceae
Description: partial 23S ribosomal RNA
Rfam family: Bacterial large subunit ribosomal RNA
Source: RNAcentral